AUUAAUUUAAAGAGGUUAUAUUGUAUAUACUUAGUUUUCACUUCCUUAACCAUGCCAUACAAUUUAGAUUUUCUCUAUAUAAUCAUAAGGUUGCAAAGGGAUGUGAUAUUGUGUGUAUACCUGCUUCCAGCAACGUCUUAGUUUUCUCAUGGAAAUUGUGUGUAGAUUUCAAGUUUCAAACAAUUUGUACGAUUAUUCUAUCAAAUUAUCUCAUUUUUUUCUUUACAUAUAUACAUGACCGACCCUUAGAUUUUGGAGGCCUUAGACGACUUUUAUAAAAAAUUCAUUGAAAAAUCAAAUUUAAGAAAAUUUGGGGACUUUUUUAAAAAAAAUUGAGGGCCUAUGCUCAUAUAAUUAGCGGCCCUGCAUAUAUAAUUACAACAAAAUAUUCCAUGCCAUAGUGAAGAAAAUGGAAGUUGAGUUUCAUUAUUUAGGCAUGGACAUCCGGGUCCUCGGGUCGAUUCUUGUCGGAUCCGGUUCUUUCAGGUCUUGGAAAUUUAGACCUAUAUAGGUAUCUAUAAUUUUUUGGGUCGGUUCCGAAUCAGGUCUUGUAUGGUCUGGGUCAGUUCGGAUCGGUUUGGAUCCAUAAUUCUAAUACUCGUAAAAUAUUAGUAAUUUUCAGGUAUAUUUUGAAUUCGGGUCGGUUCGGAUAUUUAGGAUUCGAAAAGGAUCCGAAAUACCCGAACUAGACCCGAAAACUCAAAAAAUACACGAAAACUCUAAAAUACCCAAAAUUUUAUCCAAAAUCAGACCCAAAAACCCAAAAGAUACCUGUAUACCGGAAUUAUAUUUUCUGAAAAUCUAAAAUUUUAUCCGAAACAUGAAAUUAUACCCGAAAACCCAAACCUAAAACUUAAAAAUAUAUCUAAAACACCAAAAAAUACCCAGUCACCCAUAUAUACAGUAAUUGUUUGGUACUUCGGAUCAGUGGCAGACCCAGAAAUAUAUUUUACCGGUGUCAUAAAUAAAUUAUUUAUGAAUUUUAAUAUAUUUUAAUAAUAAUUGUUUAAAUUAAUUUUUUUAUUAAAUAUUGAUUACAUAUAAUAUUGGAUUGUCAAACUGUUAACUAAAAAAAAUACAAAUCUUCUGGUUAAAAAAAAAAAAGAAAAAUCUUCAAUUUUGGCUUAGAAACCCACGUAAAUAUAUAAAAACAAUAACUAAAGUGAGCUGUGCAACCCAAAUAUUAAUUUGGGUCCAAAUAAAAAUGUAGAAAACAUAUUGGGCUUUUGGCCUGUUACAAAAAGAAACAAAUAAAAUCAGAAAAGGGUGCAAACCAAGACUAUCGAACUUGGGUUGCGGAUUUAAGGGGUGUCAAAGAAAGAGAUUUUUACCAUCUGCGCUAAGAUAGAUAACUGUAAAUGGCUUACAAAGACACUCUUUAUUAUUUAAAGGGUGUCAGCUGACAUCCCUACUCUCCAUGUAGGUCCGCCUCUGCUUCGGAUAUCCGAUCGGAUCCCAAGUUAGGACCCGGACCCGAACCGAGACCCGCAGAUCCAAAAAAAAGACCCAACAAGUACUUUUGCAUGGACCAGGACCCGGAUCCGGACCCCAACCUGUAUUUUCGGGUUGGUUCCGGUCCGAGUCUUUGGAUCUGGGUCAAAUGCCAUGCCUAUGAUCAAUUAUUCCUCCUGUGCCAAACCCCAUCACUUUCUCCAUCUUCAACAACCUGCUUCAUGAUCUCAGGUUGAUUUGAUCAGUAGUACUAUAAGCUUACA
Molecule: long non-coding RNA, 1715 nt
Filed under: Brassica rapa (field mustard)
Lineage: Eukaryota; Viridiplantae; Streptophyta; Magnoliopsida; Brassicales; Brassicaceae
Description: long non-coding RNA (BRAP_LNC002641)
Source: RNAcentral